Molecule: small nuclear RNA, 130 nt
Gene: U1
Rfam family: U1 spliceosomal RNA
About the family: U1 is a small nuclear RNA (snRNA) component of the spliceosome (involved in pre-mRNA splicing).
Source: Ensembl
AUACUUACCUGGCAAGGGAGAUACCAUGAUCAAAAAGGCAGUUCACCCAUGGCACGACUCAGCUAUUGUGCUCAGGCUGUGCUGACCCCUGCGAAUUUUACAAAAUGUGGGAAUGUCGACUGGCUUAAGC